AUUGAACGCUGGCGGCAUGCCUUACACAUGCAAGUCGAACGGCAGCACGGGAGCAAUCCUGGUGGCGAGUGGCGAACGGGUGAGUAAUAUAUCGGAACGUGCCCGGUCGUGGGGGAUAACGUAGCGAAAGCUACGCUAAUACCGCAUACGAUCUACGGAUGAAAGCGGGGGAUCGCAAGACCUCGCGCGAUUGGAGCGGCCGAUACCAGAUUAGGUAGUUGGUGAGGUAAAGGGCUCACCAAGCCGACGAUCUGUAGCUGGUCUGAGAGGACGACCAGCCACACUGGGACUGAGACACGGCCCAGACUCCUACGGGAGGCAGCAGUGGGGAAUUUUGGACAAUGGGCGCAAGCCUGAUCCAGCAAUGCCGCGUGCAGGAUGAAGGCC
This 387-nucleotide ribosomal RNA is filed under the name uncultured bacterium. RNAcentral's name for it is "bacterial SSU rRNA". It matches the Rfam family "Bacterial small subunit ribosomal RNA", at positions 29 to 416 of the family's 1533-position model. The record is from RNAcentral.